ACUAUAUACCAUACUGGAAGGAGCACAGGCUACCCCCUCCAUUCGACAAAACGGUCAGACAAGGCGGCGACUUGGUACCGGAUUUCUCUUUCUAUCUCGUCUACUCUCUUAGCUGAAAACAUUCGCCUUGCGCAUACAUAUAUACCAUUUAUAUACAUAUAGGACAAUUUGUUAUUUAUCUGUCAAGCAUGGGAAAAAUUUGUGGCCUAAAAAAUUGUUUAAACAGCAGCGAUAGCAAUAUGGAAUUUUCUUUUCACAGCUUUCCUAUGAAAGAUAAUAAAAAAUAUAAAAAAUGGAUAAUGUCUAUACCAAAAGAUUUGUUGGACUUGCCCCUAAAACAGCACACAUAUAUAUGUAGCAAGCAUUUUUCACAUGAUUCCUAUGUAUUACGAACAGCAAAAAAUCUAUUAUUCAAAGAUGCAAGUCCGUCAAUUUUUUAUAUAACAUCUAGCAAUGAUGCAGAUAAAGAGAAUAUUGAGGAUCUCUAGGAUCUUCUUCCAAUUUUAGACAUGCAUUCUGUCUGGAUUCUUAUUAUAAAAUACACAUACAUACAUAUAUAUAUAUAUAU
This is a non-coding RNA of Linepithema humile (Argentine ant), 568 nucleotides long. Lineage: Eukaryota; Metazoa; Arthropoda; Insecta; Hymenoptera; Formicidae. The record is from RefSeq and is a predicted model, not a curated record.